CCCUCCCUCCGCUUCCAGGGCCGAAUUGAUUCGUCGCGUCCGGCGUCCUCGGCGCUUUUUUUCCCCCCCGGGGAUUCUUCGGCCUCGCGCGCGCGCGGCGCGCCCCUGCCUGCUCCGCGCCCGGCCCUCCCCAGAAACAGCCGCCGCAGCAGCAGCCAUGAGCGCCUGGAACUCCUACAUCGACAACCUCAUGGCGGAGGCACCUGCCAGGACGCGGCCCCAUCGCGCGCUACAAGGACGGCCCCGUCCGUCUGGGCCGCACAAACCCGGGCAAGUCCUGGCCAACAUCACGCUGGCGGAGGGGGGAACGGGCUGGGGCC
Non-coding RNA from Chelonoidis abingdonii (Abingdon island giant tortoise), 320 nucleotides. NCBI's taxonomy places the organism in Eukaryota, Metazoa, Chordata, Testudines, Testudinidae. The record is from RefSeq and is a predicted model, not a curated record.